Long non-coding RNA from Scatophagus argus, 249 nucleotides. RefSeq lists it as uncharacterized. The record is from RefSeq and is a predicted model, not a curated record. Lineage: Eukaryota; Metazoa; Chordata; Actinopteri; Scatophagidae. The transcript has 3 exons.
CAGGACACCUGGCUGGAACUGUUCACGCAGAGAGCUCUCACUCUGAGCUGCGGCGGAGGCUGAGCGAAGCCGAGAGGAAACGGGCGGAGCUGCAGGCGGAGUCCGAUCACAACGAGAAGCUGCUGCAGGAAACCGAGGCGAAGCUUCAGGCUCUGCAGCGGCACACCAAAGAAGAAGAAAACGCGUGGAAGGACAAACUGACUGCAGCCGAACAGCAGAGACAAACAGUGAGACAGUCAGACAAACAGU